This 359-nucleotide ribosomal RNA is filed under the name uncultured bacterium. Its description in RNAcentral is "partial 16S ribosomal RNA". It matches the Rfam family "Bacterial small subunit ribosomal RNA", at positions 338 to 710 of the family's 1533-position model. The record is from RNAcentral.
CCUACGGGUGGCAGCAGUGGGGAAUAUUGGGCAAUGGCGGAAAGUCUGACCCAGCAAAGCCGCGUGAAUGAAGAAGGCCCUCGGCGUGUAAAGUUCUUUAGUCAGGGGAGAAUAAAAUGACGGUACCUGAAGAAUAAGCGCCGGCUAACUACGUGCCAGCAGACGCGGUUAUACGUAGGGAGCAAGCGUUGUUCGGAAUUACUGGGGGUAAAGGGUGCGUAGGCGGUUAUACCAGUUAGAAGUGGAAUACCCAGGGCUUAACCCGGGUGCUGCUUCUAAAACUGUAAGACUUGAGUGCAGUAGAGGUGAGUGGAAUUCGUAGUGUAGCGGUGGAAUGCGUAGAUAUUACGAAGAACACC